CACUCCAUCAACAAAACAGAAACCCCGUCCUCAUCCUCACAGUUCUUCUUCUCCAAGCUUCCUCGAUCAACCCCUUCAAAACCCAGCUGCUGCUGCCAUCAAGAUCUUCUUUUUUCUUCUUCAAACGCUCACUCUCCUUCAAUAAAUGGCGAAAGACACAAUGCCACGUCCAUGGUUUCUCGAUUUAGUACCUCUCAUGGUUGUUCUCCUCGCCGUAGCCCAUGUUCUUGCUUUGGCUUAUUGGAUUUACAGAUUAGCCACUGAGAAACAGCCCCAGAGAAAUAAGAGACAUUGAGGAGGUUUAAAAACAAGAAAUGUGGUGUGGAUUCUUGUUUAUGACAUGUAUUUGAAUAUAUGUUAGUUGUUUUCUAAAGGUAUUUGUUUUUAAAAUGCAGAAUACGAUUUCUUCCAGCAUCAAAUACAAGCUCGUGAUGGGCUGCAUUUGGCUACCACAUAGACUUUGUGCUUUUGUAUAUCGAAAGUGCUACAUAUUCCUUGACUUUAGGGUUGGUACUUCAUAUGACAUUGUUAAGUGCCCAGUUUUUGGUUGUGAUGUCUUAACCAUCAGAUUCCUUGAUAACUGUUUGCGUGAUGUUGAAUCAUGCAUUCCCUAUUGCUUACCUUUGUUUGAGUACAUGGUCAUCUUUAUUGAUACAGGUACUCAAAUCCUGCUGUUAACUGAACAAAUGGUUAAAUUUGAAGUCUUCAGCUGUUGUAAAGAGAGAUUUCUGCA
RNA transcript from Populus trichocarpa (black cottonwood), 733 nucleotides. RefSeq lists it as uncharacterized. Lineage: Eukaryota; Viridiplantae; Streptophyta; Magnoliopsida; Malpighiales; Salicaceae. The transcript has 4 exons. The record is from RefSeq and is a predicted model, not a curated record.